GUGUCAUUAAAGGGAAGGCUAAUGGUAUGGCUGGAGGUCCUCCCAAUUUUGAACAACCUACUGUGGUUCAGAAGAAUAAGCUAAAGAAGAAUACUAAUUAUGACUUAAGUCUUCCUAUUAGAAUUCCUUCUCAUAUGACUGGUGUUUUGAUUAAUGAAAAUCAUGAUAGGGUGGUUAGGAAAGCUGGAACUGAUGUAUUGAAAUCUUACUAUAAUAUGUAUGAAUCAUAUAAUUAUCCACAACACUCUUCUUAUUAAUAAGUAUGAUCUAGUUGCUUGUAGAAAUACGAAUGUUCCACUCAGGUCCGGGCCUAUGAGAAAUCAUCAUUACAUUCUAAUGUCUUCUAGUGAAGAUUCCCAGGAAAUAAAUUUGAGUAGUUUAGAUGGUGAUAA
RNAcentral lists this long non-coding RNA (392 nucleotides) under Lathyrus oleraceus (garden pea). RNAcentral's name for it is "Pisum sativum (pea) long non-coding RNA (PSAT_LNC018279)". Lineage: Eukaryota; Viridiplantae; Streptophyta; Magnoliopsida; Fabales; Fabaceae. The record is from RNAcentral.